GGGGCUGUGGCUCAGUGGUAGAGUGCUCGCCUGGCAUGUGUGAGGCACUGAGUUCGAUCCUCAGCACCA
Molecule: transfer RNA, 69 nt
Filed under: Ictidomys tridecemlineatus (thirteen-lined ground squirrel)
Lineage: Eukaryota; Metazoa; Chordata; Mammalia; Rodentia; Sciuridae
Description: Spermophilus tridecemlineatus (thirteen-lined ground squirrel) tRNA
Rfam family: tRNA
About the family: Transfer RNA (tRNA) molecules are approximately 80 nucleotides in length. Their secondary structure includes four short double-helical elements and three loops (D, anti-codon, and T loops). Further hydrogen bonds mediate the characteristic L-shaped molecular structure. tRNAs have two regions of fundamental functional importance: the anti-codon, which is responsible for specific mRNA codon recognition, and the 3' end, to which the tRNAs corresponding amino acid is attached (by aminoacyl-tRNA synthetases). tRNAs cope with the degeneracy of the genetic code in two manners: having more than one tRNA (with a specific anti-codon) for a particular amino acid; and 'wobble' base-pairing, i.e. permitting non-standard base-pairing at the 3rd anti-codon position.
Source: Rfam by way of RNAcentral